This 492-nucleotide ribosomal RNA is filed under the name uncultured bacterium. RNAcentral's name for it is "partial 16S ribosomal RNA". It matches the Rfam family "Bacterial small subunit ribosomal RNA", at positions 29 to 507 of the family's 1533-position model. The record is from RNAcentral.
AGUGAACGCUGGCGGUAGGCCUAACACAUGCAAGUCGAACGGCAGCACAGUAAGAGCUUGCUCUUACGGGUGGCGAGUGGCGGACGGGUGAGGAAUACAUCGGAAUCUACUUUUUCGUGGGGGAUAACGUAGGGAAACUUACGCUAAUACCGCAUACGACCUACGGGUGAAAGCAGGGGAUCUUCGGACCUUGCGCGAUUGAAUGAGCCGAUGUCGGAUUAGCUAGUUGGCGGGGUAAAGGCCCACCAAGGCGACGAUCCGUAGCUGGUCUGAGAGGAUGAUCAGCCACACUGGGACUGAGACACGGUCCAGACUCCUACGGGAGGCAGCAGUGGGGAAUAUUGGGCAAUGGGCGCAAGCCUGAUCCAGCCAUACCGCGUGGGUGAAGAAGGCCUUCGGGUUGUAAAGCCCUUUUGUUGGGAAAGAAAAGCAGCAGGUUAAUACCCCGCUGUUCUGACGGUACCCAAAGAAUAAGCACCGGCUAACUUCGUG